CAUUUCCGUUAGUUAGUUCCCGGUACACUUAGGUGACGGAAGGUUGUCACGUCUCCCGCUGACGGAAUAGAAACUCGUUCCUAAGGACCGGUGCUAGUUUUGACUGGAGCAUAUUUCCCUGCAGGUAACUCAUCGCUGUCGGUGUCUGUCAGAACUUCCGUAGUUUCUUUUGAGAGAAAACGAACUUUCCCGUUUCACCGCGAAUAUUUUUGCGGUAAACUGACUGGAAGCUUUGGCGCACAUUCCUAAAUCUUAGGUGAAUAGUGUAAAGUGCUAACUACUAACUAGCGGCAUUGCUGUUGGUGUUGAAGAUUUCCCAUCCUUUCUUAUUUCAACAAAAAGCAGCACUGAAAGGUAUUUAGAUUUUGAGCCAUAUCACGGUCUGGAGCAAUACAAUCUGUCUAAGGUUUAUAUUGUUGAAAAGCAAACAACUAAAUAAGUAAGAUGCUGAAAGUUCUGCUAUGUGCUGCUGUUUCCCUGUGCUAUGUACAAGCUAGUUAUGGCAACGUUGCCAGCAAUGCUACCACAGCUGGACAGGAAGAUGCUAAGCUCGUGUGCAAACCUCGGAAAAUAUAUGUAACAUGGGAGAGGGUGAGAAACUAUUUGGUUCAUCAUAAAGGGCAGUUCACAAUACCUGGGACGUGGGUUGGAGAGCCGUUGGCAGUGAUGCGCUGUCGCGACUUCUUGGACCCUGCAGAGCCGAUGGGUUCUACUGUGGCACUGGGAAGGAAGAAAUGCACACAACAUAUAUGCCAGUGACUGCUAGGGGAAAGAAGGUUGCCAACAUUACGCUACAAUAUGUUCAGGAUACAACAUGCAAAUGUUCAAAGAAAAAACCUAUUGUGGACAAUAUUGAAUCACCUCCCUAUAUCUUUAAAUCUUCUGUGGUGAUGGUUUGAUUGUCCCCCCCCCCACAAUCGCCCCCCCACCCCGCGUCCCCAACACUGUCCCUUUCUCUCUCACUUAACUCCCCAAGGCACGGGCUCUUAGUGUUCAUAAGAUCGCCUGUAACUACGAUUCCAUCCACAUGUAUUAAAACAGGUCUGAGCAAGAGCCCGUGCUGGUAUAACGCCUUCUAAGUUACAAACAUCCAAAGUUAAUAAAGAUAUUUAUUUAGAA
Long non-coding RNA from Macrobrachium nipponense, 1119 nucleotides. RefSeq lists it as uncharacterized. The transcript has 3 exons. Lineage: Eukaryota; Metazoa; Arthropoda; Malacostraca; Decapoda; Palaemonidae. The record is from RefSeq and is a predicted model, not a curated record.